Molecule: ribosomal RNA, 253 nt
Filed under: uncultured bacterium
Lineage: Bacteria
Description: partial 16S ribosomal RNA
Rfam family: Bacterial small subunit ribosomal RNA
Source: RNAcentral
UACAGAGGGGGCAAGCGUUGUUCGGAAUUACUGGGCGUAAAGGGCGCGUAGGCGGCCUGCUAAGUCGAACGUGAAAUCCCUGGGCUCAACCCAGGAACUGCGUCCGAUACUGGUUGGCUUGAAUCCGGGAGAGGGAUGUGGAAUUCCAGGUGUAGCGGUGAAAUGCGUAGAUAUCUGGAGGAAUACCGGUGGCGAAGGCGGCAUCCUGGACCAUAACUGACGCUGAGGCGCGAAAGCUAGGGGAGCAAACGGG